CUUAUAUCUGAAUUUUUGGACAGAACCACCUGACAUAUCUAUGGUUGGAGUGCACUGCCGGGCGUGCCCCCCAACAUAUACCUCAUUGAAUUCAGAUCGACGCGUGCUCAUGGAUGAAUUGUUGGUGAUUCCCCUGCCAACUCAAGUAUGAAGAUCAUGCAAGUAAGGUUUGAUCCCACGCACUACUCGAGCUCCGCCUGGCUCCACUCGAAUGGUGCAGCGACGACUGGGGCUAGCACCACCCCCGCUCGUGGCCAGCUCCGGCACGACUCGCUGCCGGCUCGAGUGCGCCCUCGACCGGCGGCAAGGAAGCGGGUGGGGUCAAGCUGGCACAGAAGAGGCCGCCCGGCAGCCGCCGUACUCAAGGCGCGCGCAGCCGAGCGGGGCGUCGACGGAGGAGCCGCAGAGGGGUGAGGAGGCAGGUGCCAUGGCGGCGUCGCGGGGUGGAAUUACAUUGGACCUGAGAGAAGUCCUUCACAUGCAGUGAUCAUACGGGCAAUUGAGCAUGACAAAAGUACAAAGUGAUUGACAAGUUAAAUAAUCGAUUACUUGAGGAAAUUGAGGAAAGUAAGGCCUUUUUUCAGGUUUAUGAAGGUGCUGUCUACAUGCAUCAGGUGUCAAUUACCGUGUCGAGGACUUUGACUUGUCAAUUAUCAUCAAGGACAGCCUAGGCCAGUGCCCAUGCGAGCCAGGUGCAUCCAUAUCCUCAGCCUGCUAGCCGACGAUCACUACAACAAGAUCAAGAUACUAAUUCUUUCAACAUAUUUAGUAAUGGUUUGACAAUAUAGUACAUAAAUUAAGUAGUUACUUUUUACUAUUUCAUCACUGAGGCAAGCAAAGCUUAUUCUUGGAUGUGGUGAUUUUGUGGCCAUGUUGCAUUGUCUGAAGAAGCGCAUGUUUCAUCUUUUUGCACCUUGAAAAAGAAAUACUUCUGAAACAAGAAUCCCAAGUAAACUUUAUGCUGUUUAUGAAUCCAUACCGUGUCGAUGUCAAGUACCAGCAUGUAAUUCCUAGCAAUGUCUUUGUGUGGUACUAUGACUUCAGUUGCAUAUAUAGUCUGCAUAUAGUUACUUAUUGAAUUGUGUUCCUUUCAGUGUUUUUUGUUUCAGAGAUAGUACAGUUACUUUCUUAUUUCAGUGAGUUCACUGUAUUGAUGUUGAGAGUUAUACUAAAUUCGCAUUCUGGCACCUCCCUUGGAUGUUGCAUUAUGCAGACUAAGCUCAUCAAGGAGUGGGAUUCACUGGUGCAGGCUUCCUAUCUUUCAUAUUUAAGCUGGCUUGCACCACAACUGUUUGGUCAAUGCUUGGGAGGAAGAGGUCGGCAAGGAUGGAGCCAAUGAUAAGGGUGGGUAGCAGGCAAGCGAUGUACCGGUUGAUCUGCUUGUAUCAGUUUGUGCCCUUGCCACUCCUAAAGGCUCUACUGUUUGCAGGAUCCACUGCUUAGUCACUUGAACAGAACACAUGGCUGAGUUUGUAGUAGGUUCAUCCUGAUGGUUGCAAAAUCAAGCCUGAAGUACACAGUGGAGUGAUGUCUCAGUAAGCUAUGUUUAAAGAGAAUGUUUUGGAGUUUGGAACACAUCUUUUAAUGUAUAUCUAUUUCUUUUUCAAUGAACAUUAGUUUGGCAGUAUUAGUUAGUUUAUUAUACUAAUAUAAUAUGUUCUGAGUAUGAAGAUGUAAGCACAUGGUUUUUUGGUGUUGGAGUUUGGGGCUGUAUUAUGCAUUCGAGAGAUGAAAUGAUAAAAUGAGAAACCUUAAGUGAAUAAUGUGGAGGCAAUUAUAAUAAGCAAAAGAGUUUAUUUUUAUUGUUGCUUA
Long non-coding RNA from Panicum virgatum (switchgrass), 1812 nucleotides. RefSeq lists it as uncharacterized. NCBI's taxonomy places the organism in Eukaryota, Viridiplantae, Streptophyta, Magnoliopsida, Poales, Poaceae. The record is from RefSeq and is a predicted model, not a curated record. The transcript is spliced from 7 exons.